Molecule: ribosomal RNA, 460 nt
Filed under: uncultured bacterium
Lineage: Bacteria
Description: partial 16S ribosomal RNA
Rfam family: Bacterial small subunit ribosomal RNA
Source: RNAcentral
CCUACGGGAGGCAGCAGUGAGGAAUAUUGGUCAAUGGGCUUACGCCUGAACCAGCCAAGUCGCGUGAGGGAAGACUGCCCUAUGGGUUGUAAACCUCUUUUGUCAGGGAGCAACGCCGGCUACGUGUAGCCGGACUGAGAGUACCUGAAGAAAAAGCAUCGGCUAACUCCGUGCCAGCAGCCGCGGUAAUACGGAGGUUGCGAGCUUUAUCCGGAUUUAUUGGGUUUAAAGGGUGCGUAGGCGGAAUGCCAAGUCAGCGGUAAAAUCGCGGGGCUCAACCUCGCUCCGCCGUUGAAACUGGCGUGCUUGAGUGGGCGAGAAGUAAGCGGAAUGCGUAGUGUAGCGGUGAAAUGCAUAGAUAUCACGAAGAACUCCAGUUGCGAAGGCAGCAUACCGGCGCCCAACUGACGCUGAGGCACGAAAGCGUGGGUAUCGAACAGGAUUAGAUACCCUGGUAGUC